This 21-nucleotide non-coding RNA is filed under the name Caenorhabditis elegans. The record is from RNAcentral. Lineage: Eukaryota; Metazoa; Nematoda; Chromadorea; Rhabditida; Rhabditidae.
UAUGGAAUCGCACGGUGUAGA